AUGGAUGUGCUACCCUGGCGCAGUGCCAAAGUCGCCAUUAGGUCACGACAAGACCAAGACGCCAUCAAACUUCUCGAGACUAAAACGGAGAGAGUAGAGAUCGGGGGAGUUCAACGGUAUGCAACACCACUCCUACGAUCUCCUGAUAUGCCUACCCUGUCUGCGCCCAAGGAGGCAGUGCUCCCUCUGCUCCGCAGCACAGAGCGAAGGUUGUUAAAGUCACCAGAGAAGGUCCUUUGCUACACAACUGAGAUUCAGAGACUGCAGCGGGAAGGUUUCGUUGUCAAGCUUGAGCCUGGAGCUGACAACACUCCUGCUAGCUGGUAUAUUCCACAUCACAUGGUGCAGCAUAAUGGCAAGAAUCGAGUUGUGUUCAAUUGCUCAUUCCAGUUCCAGGGGCAGAGCCUCAAUGACCACCUUCUCCCUGGACCUACUUUGGGGCCAACCCUCCUGGCAGUGCUUUUGAGGUUUCGACAACAUCCCAUCGCCUUCAGCAGCGACAUCCGUGGGAUGUUCCAUCAAGUCCGACUAUUAAAAGAAGACCAGCCACUCCUCCGAUUCCUCUGGCGAGACUGCAAACGUGACGACCCCCCUUCUGUCUACGAGUGGAGAGUACUCCCGUUCGGCACCACAUGUAGCCCAUGCUGCGCCAUCUUUGCCCUACAAAAGCACGUGCUGGAUCACAGCAACCCCGAGGAAGACGUCCGUGAGACUGUGAUGCAGUCAUUCUAUGUCGACAACUGCCUCCGGAGCUCGGCGACAGAGGUAGAAGCUAAAGUGCUUGUGGACAAACUACAGAAGCUUCUGGCUGAUGGAGGUUUUGAGUUAAGACAAUGGGCCAGUAACCAGCCCUCAAUCAUCAGCCACCUCCCGCCAGAGCUUCGAUCAGACAGCGCUGAGCUCUGGAUCACACAUGGCAAACCUGAUCAGAAAGAAGCUGCACUGGGGCUCCAUUGGCACUGCUCAUCAGACAGGCUGUACUACAAGCUCCGCACUGUUGACCAUCCUCAAGUGACCCUGCGCACAGUCUACAAGGUGUUAGCGAGUCAGUACGACCCACUGGGCUACAUUGUGCCAUACACCACAAGAGCUAAGAUUAUCGUUCAGCAGAUGUGGGCUUCACGGACUGACUGGGAUGACCCCAACCUUCCUAAGGACCUUCUCCAGGCCUGGGAUGAGUGGGAGCAGGAACUGCCCCAGCUGCAAACCAUCUCUCUAGCUCGUUGCUACACCAGCUCCAGCAUUGAUUCGAGCACCUGCCAACGUGAUAUCCACAUAUUCUGUGAUGCCUCUGAACAGGCCUAUGGAUCAGUGGGUUACUUGAGGAGUGCGGAUGCAAGUGGCACUGUGGAAGUUGCCUUCCUGACAGCACGUUCCAGAGUAGCACCCCGGAAGCAACAGACCAUACCCCGCUUGGAAUUAUGUGCAGCAUUAACAGGGGCACAGCUGGCACAGGUGCUCACUACUGAACUAACGGUCUCGCUUCGCCAUGUCACCCUAUGGACCGACUCUACCACAGUACUAACAUGGCUACAGUCAGACACGUGUCGAUUCAAAGUUUUCGUCGGGACACGCGUAGCAGAGAUACAGGAGCUGACAGACCGGGCAGCCUGGAGAUAUGUUGACUCAGCCAACAACCCCGCUGAUGACAUUACACGGGGAAGGCAUCUGUCAGACUUAAGUGAGUUGAGCCGAUGGUGCCGAGGUCCUCCAUUCCUCCAUGAGCCUCCAGAUCGGUGGCCCGAGAAACCACGCCUCCUACCUGUGAAUGAUGAGGAACUACGGAGGCCAUUCACCUGUCUACACAUCAUCACACCAUGCAGCCCACCCUUACCCGAAGCCGAUCAAUUUCAGACAUUUAAGGACCUCCUUAAGGCUACAGCGCAAGUUCUCCGUGGGCCAGCAGAUGCCCCUCCGACCGCGGAGGACUAUCACAGAGCAGAAACCAUGCUGCUGCAACAAGUGCAGCGAGAGUGUUUCCCCUCUGAGUUGGUCCACUUACAAGAGGGCAAGCAACUCCCAAGAUCCAGCCGUCUGCUCACUCUGGCUCCUGAGUUGGAUUCAAAUAAAGGACUCAUUUGUGUAGGGGGACGUCUUCGCCACAGUCCUUACCAGGACCAAUUCACCAUCCACCCUAUCGUGCUUGAUCCUAAACAUAGGAUCACUCAGUUAAUUAUCAAAGACACAGAUGAAGCCUUAUGCCAUCCUGGAACAGAGAGAGUUUUUGCAGAAGCUAGGAGGCGCUACUGGAUACUACGAGGGAGAGAAGCAGUAAAGCGGCACCAGCGAGGCUGUCUGGAUUGCAGGAAAUGGAGAGGUAAGCCAGAGGCACCUAAGAUGGCGGACUUGCCUCCUUCGAGGCUCCGACUUCAUCAGCCCCCCUUUUAUUCAACAGGUGUGGACUGUUUUGGUCCAUAUACUAUUCAAGUGGGCCGAAGACAUGAGAAACGAUGGGGCAUCAUUUUCAAAUGCCUCACCACUAGAGCUGUCCACCUUGACCUCCUGCCCACCAUUGGUACAGAUUCAUUCCUAAUGGCAUUCCGGCGAUUCGUAGCACGCAAGGGGAAGCCGUUUGAACUGCUUUCUGACCAAGGAACGAACUUCAGAGGUGGGGAGAGGGAGCUGAAGCAGGUCUUCGACGCUUUACAGCCUGAACUGCAGACACACCUAGCCGCUCAGCAGGUGAGAUUCCAUUUCAACCCACCAAAUUCCCCCCACUUUGGCGGUUGCUGGGAGAGAGAGAUCCGCUCCUUGAAGCAGGCUCUACAGACAACCUUAGGGGCACAGACUGUAACUGAGGAGGUGCUGCAGACCCUCCUCGCUGAAGUUGAGGGUAUUCUGAAUUCAAAGCCCCUGGGCUAUGUUUCCUCAGAUGUAGCUGAUGUAGAUCCUGUUACUCCAAAUACCCUGUUGAUGGGGCGGCCAGAUGCAUCUCUCCCCCAGGGUGUCUACCCUGAAUCGGAGAUAUUGAGUAAACGGAGAUGGCGCCACAGCCAAGUCUUAGCCGAACACUUCUGGAAGCAUUUCAUUAAAUAUUAUCUUCCAAGCCUGCAGACCAGACAGAAGUGGCAGUUCGAGAGUCCAGACAUUCUUGUGGGUGAAGCCGUUAUGAUUGCAGAUCCCCAGCUUCCUCGCUCACUGUGGCCUACAGGACGGAUCACAGAGACCUACCCAGGACCAGAUGGUCGGGUCAGAACUGUGAAGGUGGAAGUGAGAGGGCGUGCAUACACCCGCCCUCUCCCACGGCUUGUUCGUCUUCCUGCGAUACCAGACUAA
Molecule: long non-coding RNA, 3276 nt
Filed under: Oreochromis niloticus (Nile tilapia)
Lineage: Eukaryota; Metazoa; Chordata; Actinopteri; Cichliformes; Cichlidae
Description: lncRNA (ENSONIG00000038874.1)
Source: RNAcentral